Molecule: long non-coding RNA, 11537 nt
Filed under: Capsicum annuum
Lineage: Eukaryota; Viridiplantae; Streptophyta; Magnoliopsida; Solanales; Solanaceae
Description: long non-coding RNA (CANN_LNC012417)
Source: RNAcentral
UGGAUUUUUGCCAUAAUACAUUAACCUAGUGCAAUUAGGUUAUGUGUUUCAUCAUUCUAUUUGGAUUAUAAUUUUGUAACCUUACCCUAGUACAAUUGGGUCAAGGAUUUCAUUAGUAUAUUAGGAUUUGGUUAUUUAUUUUAUUAGUUUAGUAGGAGUAGGAUAGGAGUAUUAUAAAUACCCUAUCAUGUUAGAGAUUUUGAAGAAAAGAAGAAAAGGGGGAGAGACAUUCUGACAAUUCAUUCAUCUCCUUACAAUUAAGACAUCUUCCUAUAACCCAUUCUCAAUUCUUCAUUCUUCUACUCUUAAAUUCCACAACAAGAGAAUCGUUACUUGCUACGGAAUCACUAAAACCACACGCCAAACACCUACUAUUCACGCCAUCCACCAUGCAAAACGUGAUAUCCUUCGCAUUCAUGGGUAACUAAAUCUCUUAGUUGGGGUUAUGGAAGCCGAAUGAGUUACUAUCUAUAGCUAUGAGUUUGUGAGUUCAAGACAAGUAUAUUGCUUAUAUCAUUAUUCUCUUCAUCUUAAAUCUACAUUCUUUGCGGUUCAAACACAAGAACACGCCAUUCUAACAUCUAACCUGUUCGAGAGAAAGGUUAUUUGUCUAGAAAAGAAGACGCAUAGACCAACGCCAGUCUAACAUCUGACUUGUUCGAGAGAAAAGUUAUUUGUCUGGAAAAGAGAUAAUGUCAAGGUAGUAGGACACCCUUUCCUAUUAAAAAGCUAGUGCCGUACCUGGACUAACUUCUUGGAGAAUUCGUACCGUUAGUCACGCUUUAAGCUCGAGAGAGUUAAAGUGAAAUAGUCCUUGUUUAGGUCGAGAGACGCUUGGAUUUACCAUCGACUACAAUUCUCUAUAAGCAAUUACAUGUCAAGACUCUACACACUCAUAGCCAAUAGAGACGUAUACCUCAGAAGGUGGACAUAACCCCAACGCCUCAAUUCUCAUUGUUUACAACACACGUGACAAUCUCUCUUUAUUUUGCUAUUUUCAGUUCUUACAUUCUUGUUUUGGUUACAUACUACAAUCCCCCCUUUCCUACGAGACUUGCACUAAAAGUCUAGUAAUUUCUCUUGCUUGUUGGCCAAGCUAUUCUCUGUGGGAUCGAUACCCAACCCAGGUUGGGUUCUAUAUUUGCUAACGACCGCUUUACACUCCCACGAGAGCUGUAGAUUGAGCGUUAUCAAAAAUUGGCGCCGUUGCCGGGGAAUACGAGUGUCAAUCAAGUUCGUGAAAAUUACUAGACCCUUUGGUCAAAGAUUCUCGUACUUUUACGUUUAGUUUUUGUUUUUGUUUAUUGCAGGUUUUUCUUUUAGUGCAUGCCCCAUACUAGAAGUUCUGGUCAACCGUUAUUACCAAUCAAUCCGGAACCACAACGAAUCAGAAGAAUGGAAGCACAAGCGGAAAUCGACAGGAUGGCUGCUCAACAUGAGCAAGCAAGAUUAGCUGCUCUUGCCGCUGCUCAAGUCCAACAACAAAACAUUGAUAAUCCUGGACGAGCAACAAAUCCUGACGAUGAAGAUUUAGGAGAUGACGAGUUGAUCAACCCAAGGCAUGGCGCUGAAAUGGCAACACCUACCAACAGACGAGGUCGACAAGCUCGGUACAGAUAUGAUCGCCAACCUUUGCAACCAGCUUUCGACGAUGAUGAUGAUGAUCUUGAUGGUGCCGGAGCCACUGGAGCUAUAAUUCCACCACCAUUAGCGCCCGGAGCCAAGUUCAACAUCACUAGCACCAUGAUUCAGUUAUUGCAACUCAAGGGAUUAUUUGGUGGACUAGCAGGCGAUGAUCCGAAUAUGCAUCUCAUCAACUUUAUUUCUACAUGCAAGUCUUUUGACAAUCCUGGAGUUGGUCAGAAUGCUAUUCGAUUACGUCUAUUUCCAUUGUCUCUGUCUGGGGAGGCAACAUUAUGGUUGAAUGGGCUGACUCCUGAUUCUAUUACAAAUUGGAGGCAAUUGAGAGACGCUUUCCUAGAAAGAUUCUUUCCGCCAUCCAAGAGGGCUCAAUUGAGAGAUGAAAUCAGCAACUUUCGUCAGCUUCCCUCUGAAGCUCUUCACGAAACAUGGGAGAGGUUCAAGACAAAGCUAGCGAGAUGCCCAAACCAUCACAUGACUAAUGUUCACCUCAUGGAGAUCUUAUAUAGAGCCUUGAAUUCAGUAACUAAACCAGUGGUGGACAACGCAGCUGGAGGUUCUUUUAUGGACCUCACCUUUGGUCAAGCAAGCAACAUGCUAGAUCGUAUGACGAAACAAAGUAGAGCUUGGCAUACCAGGGAUUCUGAGGUAGCAAGCCCCACUUUAUCUAUUGGCAUGUCUGCAGAUCAAAGAAGGAGAGAAGAAGAACGUGAUCAAGAUAUGGCGCACAUGAAAACCCAAAUGGAUCUUCUUACAAAGCAUCUAUUAGGGAAGACUGAAAAAGUGAAAUCUAUUGCGUCAAAAGGAAGAGACGAAUCUGAUUCAGAAGAGGAGGCCAACUACUUGAACAAUCAGGGGGGUUUCCGUGGGAAUGCCCAAGGAAACCAAGGUCGGAACUAUUAUGACAAAUCUGGAGGUAAAGACCAAGGUAGUUGGAAGAAAAAUAAUGAAAACAGUGGUUUGUACGUUCCCCCUGGUAGACGUGAUACCACCACAUCUAAUUCUAUGGAAGACAUGAUGGCUAAGUUAUUGAAAGGAGUGGAAGCGACGAAUGCGGGAGUUAAGGAGGUGAUUGACGAUUUGGCCUCCAUGAAGCAAUUAGUUGAUUCUCAUUCCACUUCUAUCAAGCAACUAGAGCAGCAAUUCAGUCAACUUUCAGCAACACUCAACCAAAGAAAAGCCGGCACCUUGCCUAGCGAUACGGUGCAAAAUCCAAGGACUGAUGGGUCAUGCAUGGCCAUCACUACGAGGAGUGGUAAGGUGCUGGAAACUUCAGCAGAAGGCAAGCAAAUAGUUGACAGAACAGCAGACACAACCGCCACACCUAGUGACGCCACUAGGGAAGACGCCGCAAUAUCCACUUCCAACGUCAAGGACGUGUUGCCUAGUGACGUGCAGCCUGAAAAAAGUAAUAAACGGAAGCAAGAGGAGAAGAAAGCCAUGGAAAGAACACUUCCAUACCCACCACCACCUUUUCCACAAAGACUGAAGAAGGCGGCCGAUGACACUAAGUUCAGCAAGUUCAUGACCAUCUUGAAGCAGCUGACUAUUAAUGUCCCAUUGGUAGAGGCACUUGAACAAAUGCCUGGGUAUGCGAAGUUUAUGAAAGAUCUUUUGACUAAGAAGAGGGCAGCAAGCUAUGAGCUGAAAGAAGAUGUGCAUCAUUGUAGUGCAAUAGCUACCCGAUCCAUAGUUCAGAAGAAGGCCGACCCCGGAGCUUUCACUAUUCCUUGCACCGUCGGAUCUUUGGACUUUGCUAAAGCAUUAUGUGACUUAGGAGCCAGCAUCAACUUGAUGCCAUUAUCAAUCUACAAGAAGUUGGGGUUGGGAGAUCCUACACCAACUAAUAUGAAGCUUGUUAUGGCGGAUAGGUCGGUAAAACGACCGGUUGGUAUUCUAUGCGAUGUCUUGGUGAAGGUAUCUUCAUUCAUAUUUCCAGCAGACUUUGUCAUCUUGGAUUGCGAAGCAGAUUCAGAGGUUCCCAUAAUCUUGGGACGCCCUUUCCUUGCUACGGGAAGUGUGCUCAUAGAUUUGAGAGCUAAUGAACUUUCAUUCCGAAUAAAUGAUGAAGUGGUGCGCUUUGAUGUUUGCAAAUCAAUGAAGCAACCCAAAGAUCUAAGUGUAUUUUCUGUGACUGAUGUUGUCGUUGAUGACGAGGAUGAGUUACUUGCUGAAGAACAAAUUCUUGAUGAUCCUUUGGAGGUUUUGCUCAUGGAAGAAGAUGAUGAUGAUGCUGAAAUUUCUGAAGAUGAUAUUUGUGCUCUAUCGGGAUUAGGAGCAUAUCGCUAUCCUCCUAAGAAGCUGGAUAUUGAUCUCAAGAAUCGACCCACACCACCAGCUAAGCCAUCUAUUGAAGAACCACCCACAUUAGAAUUAAAGGAGCUGCCAAGCCAUUUGAAGUAUGCAUUCUUAGGAAGCGGAAACACUCUUCCAGUCAUAGUGGCAGCCGAUUUAGGUGAGCAACAAGUUGCAGCUCUUAUUGCAAUUUUACGCAAGUAUAUUAGAGCUAUUGGAUGGACCAUUGCGGAUAUCCUUGGUAUUCCACCUGGAAUUUGCACUCAUAAAAUUCAGCUCCAAGAAAAGUGCACACCCACCAUCGAACACCAAAGACGUCUAAACCCACCAAUGCAAGAGGUGGUGAAGAAGGAGAUUAUCAAGUGGUUAGACGCAGGAGUUGUGUAUCCUAUUUCUGAUAGUACAUGGGUAAGCCCAGUACAAUGUGUUCCCAAGAAAGGAGGUAUGACGGUGGUUGCGAAUGCAAAGAAUGAGCUUAUUCCACUCAGGCCCGUCACUGGAUGGAGAGUAUGCAUGGACUACCGCAAGCUGAAUUCUUGGACUCUCAAGGAUCACUUCCCCAUGCCAUUUAUGGACCAAAUGCUAGAUCGAUUAGCGGGAAAAGGAUGGUUUUGCUUUCUUGAUGGUUAUUCAGGUUAUAAUCAGAUUUUUAUUGCACCAGAAGACCAAGAGAAGACAACGUUUACAUGCCCAUAUGGUACGUUUGCCUUCAAACGUAUGCCAUUCGGGUUAUGUAAUGCACCAGCCACCUUUCAGCGAUGUAUGAUGUCUAUUUUCUCUGAUAUGGUAGAAGACACUUUGGAGGUAUUUAUGGACGACUUUUCAGUUGUUGGGGAGUCUUUCGAAGCAUGUUUGGUGAAUUUAAGCAUGGCAUUACAAAGAUGUGUAGAGUUCAACCUUGUGCUGAAUUGGGAGAAGUGCCACUUCAUGGUAAAAGAAGGAAUUGUUCUUGGGCACAAGAUCUCCGAAAAAGGAAUAGAGGUUGAUCGCGCCAAAAUAGAGGUAAUUGAGAAGCUACCACCUCCAAUUUCGGUGAAGGGAGUUCGUAGUUUUCUUGGCCAUGCUGGGUUUUAUCGUAGAUUCAUCAAAGACUUCUCCAAAAUUUCUAGUCCAUUAUGCAAGCUAUUGGAGAAAGAUGCGAAGUUUGACUUUAAUGAUGAUUGCUUAAAGGCAUUUGAAUGCCUUAAAGAAAAACUCGUUGAAGCCCCUAUCAUGGUAACACCAGAUUGGACGCUCCCGUUCGAAGUCAUGUGUGAUGCUAGUGGUGUAGCCGUUGGUGCUGUUCUUGGACAGAGAAAGGAGAAAUUAUUUCAUCCUAUCUACUAUGCGAGUAAGGUCCUCAAUGAAGCCCAAAGGAACUACACCGUCACUGAACAAGAGCUAUUAGCGGUUGUGUAUGCGUUUGAGAAGUUCCGCGCCUACCUAUUAGGUACUAAAGUGAUCGUUCAUACAGACCAUGCAGCUCUUAGGUAUCUAAUGACAAAGAAGGAUGCAAAACCAAGGCUGAUUCGAUGGGUGUUGCUGCUGCAAGAGUUUGAUUUCGAAGUCAAAGAUAGAAGAGGUUGCGAGAACCAAGUGGCUGAUCACCUAUCUAGACUUGAGAAUGAGUAUGUGGCGCAAUCAGAAAAUCAGAUUGGCGAUGCAUUCCCUGACGAGGAGAUAUUAGCGACAACAAUAGAAGACUUACCAUGGUAUGCCGACUUUGCGAAUUUCGUGGUGAGUAAUGUGUUACCUACAAAUUUAUCUUACCACCAGAGGAGGAAGUUUAUGCAUGACGUUCAGCACUAUUAUUGGGAUGAGCCUUAUUUGUUUCGAAGAUGUGCGGAUGGUAUCAUUCGACGAUGUAUAUCCCAUGACGAAGUGCCCACUAUAUUAGAAGCAUGCCACACUUCGCAAGUUGGAGGACAUCAUGCGGGUAAUCGAACAGCAAGAAAAGUCUUGCAAAGUGGUUAUUAUUGGCCUACAAUAUUCAGAGAUGCACACGACUAUGUGAGAAGGUGUGACCAAUGCCAACGUCAAGGUGUUAUUUCAAAACACCAUGAAAUGCCCAUGUCCACAAUCCUGGAGGUAGAACUCUUUGAUGUAUGGGGUAUUGAUUUCAUGGGACCAUUCGUAAAUUCGUUUGGAAUGAAGUACAUCUUGGUUGCUGUGGAUUAUGUGUCGAAAUGGGUUGAAGCUGUAGCAUUGGCCGAUAAUGAAGGAAAGCGUGUUGUAGCGUUUUUAAAGAAGAAUAUCUUCUCUCGCUUUGGGGUACCUCGUACUAUCAUAAGUGAUGGAGGAUCUCACUUCUGCAACAAGCUAUUCAAAUCUGUAUUGGCCAAGUAUGGAGUCAAGCAACACAAGGUAGCUACGCCUUAUCAUCCCCAAACUAGUGGACAAGUAGAGGUUUCCAAUCGGGAGAUCAAGCAAAUCCUUGCCAAGACGGUCAAUGCGAAUCGGAAGGAUUGGUCUCGGAAGCUAGAUGAUGCACUAUGGGCGUAUAGGACUGCAUUCAAGACACCCAUUGGCAUGUCACCUUAUCAGCUAGUUUAUGGGAAGGCUUGUCAUCUACCCAUCGAGCUUGAAUACAAGGCAUUAUGGGCAUUGAAGCACUUGAAUCUGAAUUGGGAUGAUGUGAAGAACCUGAGGUUGGAGCAGCUGAACGAGCUAGAUGAAUUCCGUCUCCAUGCUUAUGAAAGAUCAGAUUUAUACAAGGAGCGGAUGAAGAAGUAUCACGAUCAGCGGAUUGUUCGACGACACUUCCAAAAAGGUGACAUGGUGCUACUCUUUAACUCCAGAUUCAAGCUCUUCCCAGGUAAGUUAAAAUCAAAGUGGUCUGGUCCAUUUAAAGUCACCCACGUCUACUCGUUUGGAGUAGUCGAAUUGGAAAAUAAUGAGGGUGUUAUCUUCAAGGUGAAUGGCCAACGUGUUAAGCCAUAUAUCGGUCCUCUUGACUCGAUAAAUGACAUGGCCAUCACUUAUCUCGACGAAGUCUAAGUACUCGAGAUUACUACGUCGAGCCACGACAAUAAAUAAGGCGCUAGAUGGGAGGCAACCCUUCGUUUUAUUGUUUUAUCGUUUUGUCGUUUUAGUAUUUUUUCUUUUUGAUAAAUGAAAAUCCAAAAAUAAGAGUCGUGCCACGACCAAAACUAAGGCGCUUGGUGGGAGGCAACCCAUCGUACUAAUCGUUUUCAUUUGUUUGAGCAAAUAUAGGUGUAAGAAGUAUGCAACGAGGAGAUUGAUUUCAAUUGACGAUUUGGUCGCGUCGUAUGGUAAAGGCGGUAAGUUAGGAAUGGUGAUGCAUAAGGCUAUGAAUUGAGCCUUUCUCACGUCAUAAUAGGCUUCGAGGAAGGCUAGGCCUUGGUAAAAAUAGGCCACGAACGAUGCACAACCUAUUCUAUAGCCUAAGGACUCGGAAUCUAGUGUGCUAUACCCUAUGCGCCGCCUAUUCCUAGGUGUGCUUUUGACUAUGCGCCGCCUAUGUCCCAUUAUGCCAUGGACAAUGCGCCGCAUAUACAUGUGAUAUGCCGAGGGAUAUGCGCCGCAUAUAGGGUGAUUUUGUCCCCAAAUCCGAUUGUAAAUGGGUCAUAACCCGACCCAUACUCCUCCUAUAUAAAGGGGACUUGUUUUUAUUUCACAAACACAUUAGAAUCAACCCUAAAGGCGCCGCAUAUCAUCCCAAAUCCUCUCAAAUUUUUCUUCCUUUGUUCUUCCAAUCCACAACAACUUCUCCACAAUCUUCAAGCAAGUAAGUGCUCUCUUAUUCUUCAUCUAUUUAUCAUGAGUACUACUUUACUAUGCUUAUUAUUAAAUGCUAAAUCACGUGAGAUUAGUGGUGAUGUUCAUGUGCUUGGAUAAUUGUUGCAAAAAUCGUAUGAUUGAAUGAAUACGAAUGCAAUUCUUGACUUGUUUCCGACUUGAAUUUUGUUUCAAUGGCAUUGUUAUGAUACUUGCUGAACAUAUAUGGCUAUGAAUAUUGCUUGAAAGUGUUGUUUGGAUGCUUGCAUGAUUCACCACCCCGGCCAUCGGGAUACGGUUAUAGUGACUAUCCACGUAGGAGGUAGUGUUGGUUGUUCGAAUAGCAAUUCCAUGUGGUAACUCCUAUGUUAUAGUAUCGCUAUAUGCACCAUGAAAGACGUCCAAAUGGCUGUUCAUAAGUGAUGUCAUGCUGAUUUUCUUGUCGGAAUACAAUCCGAGGACGUAUGUCGACGAAGUCUGAGUACUCGACCACUUUCACUUCACUGAUUUUUGCUAACAAGAUUAAGUGUGGGGUGGUACCCCUAAUGCUUGCAUAUAGAAUUGUCUAAAGUGCGAUUGUGCCGCAUCUAACAUUAUUUCUAGUCUCAGGUACAAUGGCACCGAAAGCAAGGCAAGGCAAGGAGAAGGCUACCACAACCCGCAAGGACAAAAAGAGAAGCCGAAAAGACCAAGGCGAAUCAUCUUCCGCACACCUACCACGCAGAAUGUUCGGAAUCAAAUGGGUUCUUGAGGAAGAAGCCAAGGCAUGGUACAGCAGCAACAAAGAAAAGAAAUAUGUGCACGUCGACUUAAUCAAUAAGGAGACCUUAGCAAAGAAGGAGCCGCAAAUGUUGGCUAAGAUUAUGGCUUUGAAGCUGGAUUUCAUCUUCCGUGACAUGGGAGAGUGCAAUCUUGACUUGACAAGAGAGUUUUAUGCCAACUGGUCGCCAAACACAACAGGCAACGAAGUCAAAAUUCGGGGCCAAGUGUUACAGCUUACAGCGGAUUGGAUCAACUCGUUUCUAGGCCUACCUUCGGUCGACACUGCACCAUACAAAGAGCUGUACAGCAGACCUCCUUACAGAGCUAUAAGACACACGCUUUGUGGAAGCAGAUCGAUGGCGAGAUGGGGCAGACAUAAGGAAACAGGCCGUCACAACACAUUCCCCUAUGCUCCACUAAAUAGGGAAGCAAGAAUCUGGAUGCGCAUUGUCAACUCAUGCCUCAUUCCUGGGACGCAAUACACAAAGAUAUCGAGAGAUAGAGUGUGCCUGGUUUAUUCAUUAAUGACGAAUGUCCCUAUCAACUUUGGGGCAAUCAUUCGAUCCACCAUGAGGAAAGCCAGACUCCACAGCAGGUCCUAUUUCACAUUCGGCAAUUUGUUGACAGCAAUGUUGCGGAAGGAGGAUAUAGAAGAGGAACCAGCUGACCACAAACUCCCACAUACCCCAAAGAAGGUUGACCUCACCAAGGUCAAAGAUGCUGAAACAACGCAUGGAGUCAACCUUACCACUGCGGAGAGACAUGCUCGUGACGAGAGUUUCUUCCGUCAUCUCUAUGGCAUGACGAGAUUCACUAUGAUGAGUGGUGGACGUAUUCCAACUGCUGAAGAGCUCCAACAGCUGGACCACGACUACCCAAUGAACAGACAUGCCCGGGAGAUGUGUGGAGUGGGAGUAUAUUUCGAGGAACCUCUUGAUGAUGACGUGCCAACUGAUGAUGAUAGACGCUUGCCUGAUUCUGAUGCUGAGGAGAACUCUGACGAUGACUCUUACGAUGACUCGAACGAAGGGGGUAUGACAUUGAGGAAGAGUCCGACUAAUCAGGUUCUUCGACUUUAUUUUCCACUGAGGGCAGUGUCUAGUCUAAGUGUGGGGUGUCGGCAGAAUCUGCAUGCUAUAUUUGUAUGUUUGCUUGUUUAUUUUGUUUUAUUUAUUUUGUUUUGAGUCCGAUUUUUUUUGUGAUUUUUUUCGUGUGACGUUUUUUUUUAGUUUUUAGUAGUUAAAAUUUUUCUAGCCUCGCAUGAAAUUAUUUUAAUAGGCAGCAUGAGAUUAUAACAAUAGUAUGUAUUACAAUUGUGACUAUUGAGACAUUUAGGCUCUAGUUGUGACUCAUUAUGUGAUAGUGUGUGAUUCAAUUCCUUCACUUGUUGGGUUGAGAGUCUAUAUUGCUACCAAUCAAGUCGACCAUGUGCCUUGUGUGUGUGAGAUAAUAGUAUAUUCUAUGUAUGUGGCUGAUGCUAGAACUUGCCUGGUAUGUAUGCAAAGCGAAAAUAAGGAGUGUAAGUUUAGGAUAUGAUUUAGGCAUUUCUUUGGCAACCUAUAUUUGUUUACCUUCAGUUUUACCUACCCAUGGACAUCAUCCUAGUUAAACCCUUUUGAGCCUUUAGCCUAUUUCUUUGACAACCUUGUAUGUAAGCCUAAUUCAUUUUUUUUCAAGACCGUAAUUUGAUCCAAAUUCCUAAGUGCUUUAAAGUAAAAAAGUCAUGUGACAACAUAAGAGGAAAUUGGUUGAGUAUGAUGCUUUAAAUUGUAAUGGUGCUUGAAUAUGUUAUGAAAAAGAAAGUGCUAUCAUAAGAGGUAUGUUGUGAGAAGAAAAAGGAAAAGAAAGCUGAAAAGUGAGUUGUGCUUUAAAAUUGAAAAACAAAAGAGGAGAACAAGGGUGCUACAAAAAAAGUGUCAAUAAUACAAUGUGAUGUAUUAAAGUGCUUAGGAACUUAGUCACUAUUUCUGGCCAAAAUAGUUGAUCCUACCCGUCCCUUAGCCUACAUUACAACCAUCAAAAGACCUACUUGAUCCUAACCUUAACAUUCCGACAUUUAGUGGAGUACUACAUUAAGGGCAAGCCUAUGGUCAUUAGCUGCUACAUAUGAAUUCUUUGUGAGAGUGAGCGCAAGGAUACUUUGCUGCCCAUGUUUGAAAAAUAUGCUAUACUUGUGAGUGAUUAUGGGUACUAUAUUGUGAGACACACAUGGUUGAUGAGUUUUGGAUAGUUGUAUAUGAUUCUAUGUACCUUAAACGUUUGCAUGCGAGUUGAUCACCAUCACGAGUCUAUGCUUGAGGUUAAAUUGUUUCUACUUAUAAUCGGAAAGCUACUCUUCGUUGAUAAUUGUUGUGCUUGUCUUGAAGAAUGUUUUGUGUUGUUUCUGUAAAAACCUUAAGUCAAUGCUUAGAAGGACAUGAUAUGUUGUUCGAGGACGAACAAAGCUCUAAGUGUGGGGUGUUGAUGAUAGGCGAAAUUACGCGCCUAUAUCAAUAUAUUUUGCCCAUAUUUUAGCCUAGUUUCGAGAACUAAUUAUCUAUUUCGUACACUUUUAGUCCUUUUUCCUGUAAAUGAGCUAACAAAUGUGAUUAGGAAAGUUUCAGGUAUAAAUGAUGCAAAAUACAGCAAUUUAUGGCUUACUUGACGCAAAAGAAAGCUCACAAACGAGAUGGAAAGGAGCUGGACGCAUAAAGGACUAAAUCUGCUGCAUGGAAAAUCUGUCCCGGGCUAAAACAGCAUUUCUGAAGACUUUGGGACUUACAGACACAAAGCUGGAUUUUUGCCAUAAUACAUUAACCUAGUGCAAUUAGGUUAUGUGUUUCAUCAUUCUAUUUGGAUUAUAAUUUUGUAACCUUACCCUAGUACAAUUGGGUCAAGGAUUUCAUUAGUAUAUUAGGAUUUGGUUAUUUAUUUUAUUAGUUUAGUAGGAGUAGGAUAGGAGUAUUAUAAAUACCCUAUCAUGUUAGAGAUUUUCAAGAAGGGAGACAUUCUGACAAUUCAUUCAUCUCCUUACAAUUAAGACAUCUUCCUACAACCCAUUCUCAAUUCUUCAUUCUUCUACUCUUAAAUUCCACAACAAGAGAAUCGUUACUUGCUACGGAAUCACUAAAACCACACGCCAA